Molecule: long non-coding RNA, 200 nt
Filed under: Gossypium barbadense (sea-island cotton)
Lineage: Eukaryota; Viridiplantae; Streptophyta; Magnoliopsida; Malvales; Malvaceae
Description: long non-coding RNA (GBAR_LNC012534)
Source: RNAcentral
UGUGAAAGUUUAUCUGCCUAUUGUAUAUGAUGAGAUGUGCAUAUUCGGUAAAGGGAUGGUAUGCCCGAAGGAAGAGUGAAAUAAAAAUAUGAAUAACUAUGUUAUAAUUUGAUUGUUAUCUGUUGACACUGCUUAAAACUUACUAAGCAUUGUAAUGCUUACUCCGUUUACUCUGUUUCCUCUGUUUUAUAGAUCUCAUU